CUUCUAAAAUAUAGGAAAAAAUGUCUUCUAAAAUUAGAGGAUGCAACCACCUCUAAAUGAAAGAAGAACUUUCCGUUUAACCGAAAAGACUAAAUUUGCAAUGCUUAUUUUGUUGUUCGCGAGAUAUUUGACCAAGAAAAAGACACCCAGAUUGACUUUGAGUUGAUUGUUUGUUGACUAGCAGACGACGAUCACUUUUAUCGGUGUGGCGUGUGGGUACUGGCUACUGGGGCUACUGGAUAUUCAUUGGAAUUCAUCGAUCUAAUGAUUCUAAAACGAAAAAAAACCAUGCCCCCAGUGUCACAACUGAUGGUUCCUUUACUUAUCAAAUGUCACAGGCAGAUUGGUGAUAAUGUGAUUGCUGAAUGAACUGGUAAACGUAUAAAAUGGAAUUGACUAUAUAUUAUAUUUAUCAUCAGACAUCACUCCCUUUCAGAAAAUUAUGUCUUGAAGAUGACGAUAAGUUGCCAGUUGAUUUACAUGUCACCCUUAGUGAUAUCCUACCACACCAUCCUUUAUUCGGCAUGCAAAAAAAACUUUCCAUUCUGGGUUUCUCUGAUUUGAAAGGCCUUGAUGAUGUAAUGGUGCUAGGAGAAAAUUUUAUCAACAGAGAGAAAUGAAAGCUGCAGCUGUGUGAAAUGGAAUUGACAAUUACAUUCAUCAACAGACACAUUUCAGUUUCAGAAAUUUUUGUCUUGAGACAAAAGUUGCCAGUCGAUUUACAUGUCACCUUAAGUGAUAUCAUA
This is a long non-coding RNA of Daphnia pulicaria, 746 nucleotides long. RefSeq lists it as uncharacterized. The record is from RefSeq and is a predicted model, not a curated record. The transcript has 4 exons. NCBI's taxonomy places the organism in Eukaryota, Metazoa, Arthropoda, Branchiopoda, Diplostraca, Daphniidae.